UAAUACAUGCAAGUCGAACGGUAACCCUUGGAUUCGUCUGAGGGGGAGAGUGGCGAACUGGUGAGUAACACGUAGGUGACCUGCCUCGAAGACGGGGAUAACCAUCGGAAACGGUGGCUAAUACCCGAUACAUUCGGCAAUUCAGUUUGUCGAGUAAAGCUCCGGCGCUUCGAGAUGGGCCUGCGGCCUAUCAGCUAGUUGGUAGGGUAAUGGCCUACCAAGGCGAAGACGGGUAGGGGGCGUGAGAGCGUGGUCCCCCACACUGGCACUGAGAUACGGGCCAGACUCCUGCGGGAGGCAGCAGUCGGGGAUAUUGCACAAUCAGCGAAAGCUGGAUGCAGCGACGCCGCGUGGGCGAUGAAGGCCUUCGGGUUGUAAAGCCCUUUCAUGGGGGAAGAGAAAAAGGACGGUACCCCAAGAAUAAGUCCCGGCUAACUACGUGCCAGCAGCCGCGGUAAAACGUAGGGGACAAGCGUUAUCCGGAUCUACUGGGCGUAAAGAGCGUUGAGGCGGUUCCGUAAGUUGGGCGUUAAAGCCCCGGGCUCAACUCGGGGAGGUCGUUCAAUACUGCGGAACUUGAGGGCAGCAGAGGGAGGCGGAAUUCCCGGUGUAGCCGGUGAAAUGCGUAGAUAUCGGGAGGAACCACCAGUGGCGAAGGCGGCCUCCUGGGCUGCUCCUGACGCUGAAGGCGAAAGCUAGGGGACCGUACGGGAUUAGAAACCCCGGUAGUCCUUAGCCCGUUAACGAUGGAUGCUGGCUCUGUGGGGUAUAGAUUCCCUCCGUGCCGAAGCUUACGCGUUAAGCAUCCCGCCUGGGGACUACGGCCGCAAGGCUUAAACUCAAACGUAUUGACGGGUCCCCGCACAAGCAGCGGAGCGUGUGGUUUAAUUCGAUGCUACACGAAGAACCUUACCUGGGUUUGACAUGCAAGUAGUAGUGAAGCGUAAGCGGAACGACCCUUCGGGGAGCUUGCACAGGUGCUGCAUGGCUGUCGUCAGCUCGUGCCGUGAGGUGUCGGGUUAAGUCCCGUAACGAGCGCAACCCUUGCCCUUAGUUAUACGUGUCUAAGGGGACUGCCCGGGACAACUGGGAGGAAGGUGGGGAUGACGUCAAGUC
This 1116-nucleotide ribosomal RNA is filed under the name uncultured organism. RNAcentral describes it as "bacterial SSU rRNA". It matches the Rfam family "Bacterial small subunit ribosomal RNA", at positions 49 to 1191 of the family's 1533-position model. The record is from RNAcentral.